AAAUUACCCGAGACCGGACAUCGCUAUUAUUAUACCGACCCGUAUCUGAGGUACACGUGAAACUUUUAGACCCCGAACCCGCUCGGGUCUCGGGUCGGACCUCGGGUUUUCGGAUCUAAGUGGACCAGUGAAGACCUGUAGUUUACACUCCUCGUAGUCGUGUGGGGUGCACUUGCUGCCCUGAGCACUAAUCUUACCCUGGGUUACUGUAGCUGCUGAAAGUCAGACGUUUCCCGAGUCCAACGUUAAUCUGUGAAAUAAAUCCGAAGCCAUAAGCUUCCGUGCUUUUCGGGAGGCAGAUACACACACGACUAUUAGAAUAUUUACCCUCUCACUGCCCACGUUCUUCCAUUAAGCAAUCGAGACGAGCGAUAUUACCGGAAUGAAGCGAAGAGACACAGUGAUAUUCCUCUUACAGAACAAUAAAAUAAAUAAAUAAAUAAACCGUUAAUAACAAUCCCCGACAGAAACGAUGCUAAUAAACCUGCCAAUUGUAAUUUAGUGAUAUUAAAAAAUAAUAAUAAUAAUGAAAUGACUGUGGAAAUGUUUUGUGGGAAUUUUUUUUUUUUUUUUUUAAAUUCGGUUUAUUUUUUUUCCCCUUUUAUUUAUUUAUAUAUUUAAAAAAAAAAAUUAAUUCUUUAUUUCCUAAUUCUCAUGAUGUAAGAAGCAAUUUCAUCCAGUCAGGAUAACACUGUAUAAAAUGUUACACUAGACCUUUUUUUUGUUUGUUUGUUUGUUUGUUUACAUUUUUCCCUUCCUUUCUUAAUUUAAAAGCAAUGUAGCCAGCAGGAUUUUUUUAUUUUAUUUUAUUUUUUCUCCAGAAUCGUGUUGCAUGGGUUUCUUGUAAAGAAGACAACGAUCUUUUUUUUUUUUUUAUUCAAAAAGUUGUAAGGUAAAUAAUGUAUUUAGCAUGAAGCAUGAAUUAUUUUCAUAUAAAUAUAGAUCCUAGAGAACAAAAAGGCAUUGCCUCUAAUCUAAUUUCUAUGCCCAUAGGCCUACAGUCACUUUUCCUUUUUUUUUUAAUUUUUUUUUUUUGUGUGUUUUUUUUUUUUUUGUCUUGAUUUGUCCUCAUCAUAAAAGCAGGCAUUUUACAGAAUAACCUUCUUCAGGGACAACGCUGACUGUUGGGCAACACUCUGUGCAAUAUGGGGACUUCACCUUCUUUCCGAGUGUAGGGCUGUUGUCAGCCCCCCUCUCCGCUCUCUCCAUCAGAUCAGCACCGGUGUGUGUGUGUGUGUGUGUGUGUGUGUGUGUGUGUGUGUGUGUGUGUGUGUGUGUGUGUCUGCGUGUGUGUAAGGACAAGUUGGUAGUGAGUGUCUGUUCCUUUUCUUCCAUUUUUUUUUGGGGGGGGGGUCUUCCAUUUACACAGCACAGGUAACACACACGCUCACACACCUUUCCCUGUACGUAGCACUGUUCAGUAUUAGAUAUCUGCACACACACAUACACACGCGCACACACACACACACACACACAUCCCAGAGCAUGUUCUACGUUACUGCAUAUCGUAUUCAAUUCCAUCAGAUUGCACUUUUAUAGAUUGAAGGUGACGCACUUAGCUUUUAAUACGAGUCUGAUUUUAGUGCCAAAGCCGGUAUGUUUAUACACAGCACGGUGUCCAAGACACACACACACACACACACACACACACACACACACACACGUUUUGAUAAUACUACUUGUAGCAUUUAUGUCAUGUAUAAUAUAAUAUGACACUGUACACAUAUCCGUCUCGCUCUCAGCUUACACAUUACUGGCUGUAAAUUGCUCAUGGAGGUGUUUUUAUAUCGUCCACAUACAUCAUCUACUCUUCAUCCUCAUCCUCAUCCUCAUCCCAGUGAAUCUGAAUGUUUCUGAUGUUGAUCUUGAUCAUUUGUGACGUGUCCUGUUAGCAUGCCUGUUCUGAUACUGCACGUGAACGGACUUCAUCUGUGCAUCGUCGUCGUCACCAUCAUCAUCGUCGUCAUCAUCAUCAUCGCUUUGGAGAUCUGAAUUCUCCAUCCUCACACUGCGGAUUUAAAAAAAAAAAAUGGAGGAAAACCAGCAUUUGAAAAGGCUGUGAGAGGAUGAAGAGGCGAGUGGAGGCGCAUCAGAAAUCUCAACCCAAGCCAGUCAAAUAACAGUCAAUAACACAGUCUUCUCCUUGUGUUUCCUUGUGUUUGGUCAUUAUUAUUAUUAUUAUUAUUAUUAUUAUUAUUAUUUUUAUUUUUAUUAUUAUUAUUAAAAGGUUCAUGUUGUUAGUUGCCAUUAAAAAAAGGUUUUGCGAUGUCCCCCCAUCCCCCCCCCCCCCCCCCGCAGUGAGUAGAACAGAGUCUUAUUUCGUCCGUUCUGAAUUUUCGAGGUCUGAUGGCAUGUGCACCCCGAUAAAGUGUCGAUACGGAGGCGUUCUUGCACUCUGUAUUUCCUCGUUGUGUAAUCAUAUUGCCAAAGACAAUUUCAUCACUAUGUAAAUAUCACUUUGUCCAUUACUAUGAAAAAAAAAGGUUCCUUUUUAUUUUUUAUUUUAUUUUGCGUUCGUUCCUUAUUCCGAUCUGCCAUCACGUUUCUGUGCUGUAUUGUCUUCCAGUUGCAAUAAAGAAAAGAAAAAAAGA
Molecule: long non-coding RNA, 2591 nt
Organism: Tachysurus fulvidraco (yellow catfish)
Lineage: Eukaryota; Metazoa; Chordata; Actinopteri; Siluriformes; Bagridae
Exons: 2
Source: RefSeq, a predicted model, not a curated record